CUACGGGACGCUGCAGUGGGGAAUAUUGGACAAUGGGGGAAACCCUGAUCCAGCAAUGCCGCGUGUGUGAAGAAGGCCUGCGGGUUGUAAAGCAAUUUCGGUUGGGAGGACUGCUUCUAGCACUAAUAUUGUUGGAAGUUGACGUUACCUUCAGAAGAAGCACCGGCUAACUCCGUGCCAGCAGCCGCGGUAAUACGGAGGGUGCAGCGUUAAUCGGAAUUACUGGGCGUAAAGCGCGCGUAGGCGGCUAGAUCAGUCGGGUGUGAAAGCCCCGGGCUUAACCUGGGAACUGCAUCCGAUACUGUCUAGCUUGAGUACAGGAGAGGAGAGUGGAAUUCCACAUGUAGCGGUGAAAUGCGUAGAUAUGUGGAGGAACACCAAUGGCGAAGGCAGCUCUCUGGCCUGAUACUGACGCUGAGGUGCGAAAGCGUGGGGAGCAAACAGGAUUAGAUACCCCGGUAGUC
Molecule: ribosomal RNA, 464 nt
Filed under: uncultured bacterium
Lineage: Bacteria
Description: partial 16S ribosomal RNA
Rfam family: Bacterial small subunit ribosomal RNA
Source: RNAcentral